GAUGAACGCUGGCGGCGUGCCUAAUACAUGCAAGUCGAGCGAACGGACGAGAAUCUUGCUUCUCUGAUGUUAGCGGCGGACGGGUGAGUAACACGUGGAUAACCUACCUAUAAGACUGGGAUAACUUCGGGAAACCGGAGCUAAUACCGGAUAAUAUUUUGAACCGCAUGGUUCAAAAGUGAAAGACGGUCUUGCUGUCACUUAUUGAUGGAUCCUCGCUGCAUUAGCUAGUUGGUAAGGUAACGGCUUACCAAGGCAACGAUGCAUAGCCGACCUGAGAGGGUGAUCAGCCACACUGGAACUGAGACACGGUCCAGACUCCUACGGGAGGCAGCAGUAGGGAAUAUUGCGCAAUGGGCGAAAGCCUGACGGAGCAACGCCGCGUGAGUGAUGAAGGUCUUCGGAUCGUAAAACUCUGUUAGUAGGGAAGAACAGAUGUGUAAGUAACUGUGCACAUCUUGACGGUACCUAAACAGAAAGCCACGGCUAACUACGUG
This 497-nucleotide ribosomal RNA is filed under the name uncultured bacterium. Its description in RNAcentral is "partial 16S ribosomal RNA". It matches the Rfam family "Bacterial small subunit ribosomal RNA", at positions 28 to 507 of the family's 1533-position model. The record is from RNAcentral.